RNAcentral lists this long non-coding RNA (212 nucleotides) under Mytilus galloprovincialis (Mediterranean mussel). Lineage: Eukaryota; Metazoa; Mollusca; Bivalvia; Mytilida; Mytilidae. The record is from RNAcentral.
AAAAACAUUCUUUAAAAUGAAUGAGAACAGCAAGGUUUUCUUUUGAUUUUGUGUUGAUGUGUAUUCUGCAUGAUUUAAAUGUUAAAGUUUCUUGAAGUAACAUGUCCAAGUUUUCACCAGUUCUUUCCAGUGAAUUUGACUACAUGACGAUAAAUAACACAUGCUAUUAAACAUAUAAUUUACAAUGAUAAUUUUGAUAAUUUUCUUUAAAU